GCCCCCGUCAUCUGGGGAGUAGCCACCGGCGCAUAGCGCCGUGCGCCCGCGUCAACAUACUUGGUCGAGAGGCCAUGGCGCAGGCGGAGCCGAUCGCGGCUCAGGCGAGACCAAUGGCGUCGUAUCUCCGCUCAUGCCGGGCGGGGAGAUUCGAUGUCGUUGGAUUCGCGUUCCGCCCGGCCCU
Molecule: small RNA, 184 nt
Filed under: Sphingomonas sp.
Lineage: Bacteria; Pseudomonadati; Pseudomonadota; Alphaproteobacteria; Sphingomonadales; Sphingomonadaceae
Also listed under: 1 other name
Description: Manganese sequence
Rfam family: Manganese Mn2+ riboswitch aptamer (yybP-ykoY)
About the family: This RNA was originally discovered in E. coli during a large scale screen and was named SraF. The family was later found to exist upstream of related families of protein genes in many bacteria, including the the yybP and ykoK genes in B. subtilis.
Source: RNAcentral